RNAcentral lists this unclassified non-coding RNA (19 nucleotides) under Mus musculus (house mouse). RNAcentral describes it as "oocyte_clustered_small_RNA10458". Lineage: Eukaryota; Metazoa; Chordata; Mammalia; Rodentia; Muridae. The record is from RNAcentral.
CAGCCAUCUGGCUGACUGC